AUGCAGAUCAAAAGAUGGCACGCC
RNAcentral lists this non-coding RNA (24 nucleotides) under Arabidopsis thaliana (thale cress). Lineage: Eukaryota; Viridiplantae; Streptophyta; Magnoliopsida; Brassicales; Brassicaceae. The record is from RNAcentral.